AUGCUUCCACUCCCUUUUAUUUGAAUUCAGAGUAUAGAAAAACACACCGAGUGUCACAGAGUGUCAACAUGUGUACUGUCCUCAUCAUAUUUUCUGCCACACUAUUGUUUCUACCAGGUUCUGGUGUUUGUUCUGUAGUCCAGAGUCCUCCUGAUGUCAUAAAAAAUCAAGACGAGCUUGCUGAGAUCAAAUGUGCACACACUGUAAAGGACUAUAAUCAAAUACUCUGGUACAAACACAGCCAAGACACAGGAUUUAAAUACAUGGGAUACCUUUUAAAUGCUUACCCAAAGCUAGAGGAAGAAUUUGAAACCAAAAUCAAACUGAGUGGUGAUGGGAGCAAAAACGGUUCUUUGAGCAUAAAGAGUCUUUCUGUGAACGACAGUGCUGUCUAUUUCUGUGCAGCUUAUUACACAGUGCUGUAGAUCAGCUCACUUCAUAACAAAAACCUUCAUCUGAUCCACGUUACCCCCAAACCAGAACACCUGCAGCUGUGGUUGUGGCCACAAUAAACUGCUCACACACCAAGGAUGCAAAUCAUAAUCGGAUCUACUUGUUUCAACAGCAUCAAGGAGAGAGUAUAGAGCUCAUACUGUACACUACCACCUAUGGCGAUCCAGAAUUCAACCAAGAUCAAUUUUCAGCCAUUAAAACAGUUGCUGAGAGCGGCUCUUUCACAGUGAUGAUGUAGAUUAUAAUGACAGUGCUGUGUGUUUCUGUGCUGUGA
Non-coding RNA from Ictalurus furcatus (blue catfish), 727 nucleotides. Lineage: Eukaryota; Metazoa; Chordata; Actinopteri; Siluriformes; Ictaluridae. The record is from the annotation of a RefSeq genome assembly.